This 253-nucleotide ribosomal RNA is filed under the name uncultured bacterium. RNAcentral's name for it is "partial 16S ribosomal RNA". It matches the Rfam family "Bacterial small subunit ribosomal RNA", at positions 524 to 776 of the family's 1533-position model. The record is from RNAcentral.
UACGGGGGGGGCAAGCGUUGUUCGGAAUUACUGGGCGUAAAGGGCUCGUAGGCGGCCAACUAAGUCGGAUGUGAAAUCCCUAGGCUUAACCUAGGAACUGCGUCGGAUACUGGAUGGCUUGAAUCCGGGAGAGGGAUGCGGAAUUCCAGGUGUAGCGGUGAAAUGCGUAGAUAUCUGGAGGAACACCGGUGGCGAAGGCGGCAUCCUGGACCGGUAUUGACACUGAAAAGCGAAAGCCAGGGGAGCAAACGGG